RNAcentral lists this small RNA (348 nucleotides) under Selaginella moellendorffii. Its description in RNAcentral is "5' ureB small RNA". It matches the Rfam family "5' ureB small RNA". The record is from Rfam by way of RNAcentral. Lineage: Eukaryota; Viridiplantae; Streptophyta; Lycopodiopsida; Selaginellales; Selaginellaceae.
CAGUGGAAAGCUGGGGACAAAUGAAAUGGACGUGGGAAUCGAUGCCUCCGGCCGUGAGAAUAAGUCCUUCGCCAGCCACAACUUCCGUAUUUACCUGUGUUGUCGAGAUCCAAAAACUUAGUAGCGAGGAAGAAGAUGAUAAAAGAACUUACUCCCACGAUCAUGUUGGACGAUACCGCGUCCAUCACGUCGGGAUUUCCAGCCUUUCCAAUCCCACAAAUGUAACCAUGCUUGAUGCCUACGUCCGCUUUGUAGAUUCCCGUGUAGUCGAUCACCACAGCGUUUGUGAUGACUGUGUCGAGCGUCUCGUCGGCCUUGUAGCCGGUUCCUUGUCCCAUCCCAUCGCGG